AGUCUUAUAUUCAAAAAUGAUUUGAAAUUGCAAAUUUUAAGGAGUAAAAAAGUUCUUUACUAAGGCUU
This 68-nucleotide transfer RNA is filed under the name Barca bicolor. RNAcentral describes it as "tRNA-Cys". The record is from RNAcentral. Lineage: Eukaryota; Metazoa; Arthropoda; Insecta; Lepidoptera; Hesperiidae.